Molecule: small nuclear RNA, 155 nt
Organism: Cyprinus carpio carpio
Lineage: Eukaryota; Metazoa; Chordata; Actinopteri; Cypriniformes; Cyprinidae
Gene: U1
Rfam family: U1 spliceosomal RNA
About the family: U1 is a small nuclear RNA (snRNA) component of the spliceosome (involved in pre-mRNA splicing). Its 5' end forms complementary base pairs with the 5' splice junction, thus defining the 5' donor site of an intron. There are significant differences in sequence and secondary structure between metazoan and yeast U1 snRNAs, the latter being much longer (568 nucleotides as compared to 164 nucleotides in human).
Source: Ensembl
AACCUUACCUGGAAGGGGAGACAUCAUGAUCAAGAAGGCAGUUCACCAGGGCGAGGCUCGUCCAUUGCACUCCGGCCGCGCUGACCCAUGCGAAAUGUGGGAAUCUUGACUGCAUAAUUUAUGGAAGUGGGGGACUGCGUUCGCGCUCUACCCUG